Gigantopelta aegis is the source of this 435-nucleotide long non-coding RNA. RefSeq lists it as uncharacterized. The transcript is spliced from 2 exons. NCBI's taxonomy places the organism in Eukaryota, Metazoa, Mollusca, Gastropoda, Neomphalida, Peltospiridae. The record is from RefSeq and is a predicted model, not a curated record.
UCAACUGAACAAUGAGAAAAAGAAAAGCAACACUUGAUAUUGAAACAAACCAGGACAAGUACACUCAUAACAUCAGUGUUGAAUGGACAGACCAUCAAGUGUACUCUCCGCUCAUUUUAUUUGUGUCAAACUAGAUAUCCCACUUUUCUGACUUAAUGAUGCCUCUUACCUCAGUAAAGGAAAGUGUGCAAAGUAUCCGCUUCCAGUGGCAUUAAAGAACAGUUUGUGAAGACUGCGGCCAACUACACUCUGGAAGGUCUGCCGUCCACAGACCUGUGGUUGUCCAUCACGGCAGACCAGGCGAGCACCAGUGCACUGACUGUGGACGAGUGUUAUUAAUUAGGAAUCAUCUCCAAGGACACCACGUUUCCAGAUUCAUUGGAAUGAAUGAUCUAGUUUUUAUAUAUUGUUUAAUAAAUCGACAUUAUAAUGCAA